GUAAGAUGGCUGAUGCUAUGG
Molecule: microRNA, 21 nt
Filed under: Aegilops tauschii
Lineage: Eukaryota; Viridiplantae; Streptophyta; Magnoliopsida; Poales; Poaceae
Description: ata-miR9674a-3p
Source: miRBase by way of RNAcentral